GAAACCCCGGGCAGCUGCCAACUCCAGAUUUGCAGUCUGACAUGUAUACACCUCGGGGUU
RNAcentral lists this transfer RNA (60 nucleotides) under Elaphe bimaculata (Chinese leopard snake). RNAcentral's name for it is "tRNA-Cys". Lineage: Eukaryota; Metazoa; Chordata; Lepidosauria; Squamata; Colubridae. The record is from RNAcentral. RNAcentral also lists the same sequence under 1 other name.